RNAcentral lists this long non-coding RNA (666 nucleotides) under Lynx pardinus (Iberian lynx). The record is from RNAcentral. Lineage: Eukaryota; Metazoa; Chordata; Mammalia; Carnivora; Felidae.
AAUCACCCGGGCGGGGGAGAAGCAGAGCCCAGGCGGGCGGGAGGGGUGCAGGAAGCGAUGGCAGGCCGAGGUUCCCGCCCGAGCCGGAGGCAGAGCCCUCGGCCAGGCCGGGCGGCCCCUCACUUGGAGACCAGCAUGUGCACGAACUCCUCGUAGUUGACCUGGCCGUCCCCAUCCACGUCGGCGGCCCGGAUCAUCUCGUCCACCUCGUCGUCGCUCAGCUUCUCCCCGAGCCUGGUCAUCACGUGCCGCAGCUCGGCCGCGCUCACCAGGCCGUUGCCGUCCUUGUCGAACACGCGGAAGGCCUCCCGGAUCUGCUCCUCGCUGUCCCGGCCCCUCAGCUGCCGGGCCAUCAUGCCCAGGAACUCGGGGAAGUCCACGGAGCCGUUGCCGUCACGGUCGAUCUCGCCCACCAUGUCCCGGAGCUCGGCCUCUGUGGGGUUCUGGCCCAGGGACCGCAUGACGGUGCCCAGCUCCUGGGUGGUGAUGGCGCCGUCCCCGUCCUUGUCGAACAGGCAGAAGGCCUCCCUGAACUCGGCCACCUGUUCCUCUGUCAGCUGGUCGGCCAUGGAGGGAGCGGUGGCAGCGGCCGGGCUCCGGGGGACAGGUGGCCGCGCUAGGGGCGCCGGCUGGCUGGCCGUCUGGCCCGGGCUUGACUGGCGGGCG